Molecule: ribosomal RNA, 497 nt
Filed under: uncultured bacterium
Lineage: Bacteria
Description: partial 16S ribosomal RNA
Rfam family: Bacterial small subunit ribosomal RNA
Source: RNAcentral
GAUGAACGCUGGCGGCGUGCCUAAUACAUGCAAGUCGAGCGAACAGACGAGGAGCUUGCUCCUCUGACGUUAGCGGCGGACGGGUGAGAAACACGUGGAUAACCUACCUAUAAGACUGGGAAAAAUUCGGGAAACCGGAGCAAAUAGCGGAUAAUAUACUGAACCGCAUGGUUCAAUAGUGAAAGACGGCGUUGGUGUCAGUAAUAGAUGGAUCCGCGCCGCAUUAGGUAGUUGGUAAGGUAACGGGUUAUCAAGGCGACGAUGCGUAGCCGAACUGAGAGGGUGAUGGGCCACACUGGAGCUGGGACACCGUCCUGACUCCUACGGGAGGCAGCAGUAGGGAAUCUUCCGCAAUAGGCGGAAGCCUGACGGAGCAGCGCCGCGUGUGUGAUAAAGGUCUUCGGUUCGUAAAACUCUGUUAUUAGGGAAGAACAGAUGUGUAAGUAACUAUGCACGUCUUGACGGUACCUAAUCAGAAAGCCACGGCUAACUACGUG